GAUGAACGCUAGCGACAGGCUUAACACAUGCAAGUCGAGGGGCAGCAUAGAAGUAGCAAUACUUUGGUGGUGACCGGCGCACGGGUGAGUAACGCGUAUGCAACCUACCUAUCAGAGGGGAAUAACCCGGCGAAAGUCGGACUAAUACCGCAUAAAACAGGGGCACCGCAUGGUGAUAUUUGUUAAAGAAAUUCGCUGAUAGAUGGGCAUGCGUUGCAUUAGGUAGUUGGUGAGGUAACGGCUCACGAAGCCGACGAUGGAUAGGGGAACUGGGAGGUUCGUCCCCCACACUGGUACUGAGAUACGGACCAGACUCCUACGGGAGGCAGCAGUGAGGAAUAUUGGUCAAUGGGCGAGAGCCUGAACCAGCCAAGUCGCGUGAAGGAAGAAGGAUCUAUGGUUCGUAAACUUCUUUUGCAGGGGAAUAAAGUGCAGGACGUGUCCUGUUUUGUAUGUGCCCUGAGAAUAAGGAUCGGCUAACUCCGUGCCAGCCGCCGCGGUAA
RNAcentral lists this ribosomal RNA (503 nucleotides) under uncultured bacterium. RNAcentral's name for it is "partial 16S ribosomal RNA". It matches the Rfam family "Bacterial small subunit ribosomal RNA", at positions 28 to 523 of the family's 1533-position model. The record is from RNAcentral.